This 548-nucleotide ribosomal RNA is filed under the name uncultured bacterium. RNAcentral's name for it is "bacterial SSU rRNA". It matches the Rfam family "Bacterial small subunit ribosomal RNA", at positions 355 to 896 of the family's 1533-position model. The record is from RNAcentral.
UGGGGAAUAUUGGACAAUGGGCGAAAGCCUGAUCCAGCAAUACCGCGUGUGUGAAGAGGGCCUUCGGGUUGUAAAGCACUUUAAGUUGGGAAGAAAAAGCUUCACCUAAUACGUGAAGCCUUGACGGUACCGACAGAAUAAGCACCGGCUAACUCUGUGCCAGCAGCCGCGGUAAUACAGAGGGUGCUAGCGUUAAUCGGAUUUACUGGGCGUAAAGCGUGCGUAGGUGGUUUGAUAAGUCGAUUGUGAAAGCCCCGGGCUUAACCUGGGAAUUGCGGUCGAUACUGUCAGACUCGAAAACGGUAGAGGGAGGUGGAACUCCAGGUGUAGCGGUGAAAUGCGUAGAUAUCUGGAAGAACACCGAUGGCGAAGGCAGCCUCCUGGGCCCGUUUUGACACUGAGGCACGAAAGCGUGGGUAGCAAACAGGAUUAGAUACCCUGGUAGUCCACGCCGUAAACGAUGAGAACUUGACGUUGGUUUGCUUAGCAAAUCGGUGUCGUAGCUAACGCGAUAAGUUCUCCGCCUGGGGAGUACGGCCGCAAGGUUG